AACGAACGCUGGCGGCAUGCCUAACACAUGCAAGUCGAACGAGACCUUCGGGUCUAGUGGCGCACGGGUGCGUAACGCGUGGGAACCUGCCCUUAGGUUCGGAAUAACUCCCCGAAAGGGGUGCUAAUACCGGAUAAUGUCUUCGGACCAAAGAUUUAUCGCCUUUGGAUGGGCCCGCGUUGGAUUAGCCAGUUGGUAGGGUAAAUGCCUACCAAGGCUACGCUCCAUAGCUGGUCUGAGAGGAUGAUCAGCCACACUGGGACUGAGACACGGCCCAGAUUCCUACGGGUGGCAGCGGUGGGGAAUAUUAGACAAUGGGAGAAAGCCUGAUCCAGCAAUGCCGCGUGAGUGAUGAAGGCCUUAGGGUUGUAAAGCUCUUUUACCCGGGAUGAUAAUGACAGUACCGGGAGAAUAAGCUCCGGCUAACUCCGUG
RNAcentral lists this ribosomal RNA (433 nucleotides) under uncultured bacterium. Its description in RNAcentral is "partial 16S ribosomal RNA". It matches the Rfam family "Bacterial small subunit ribosomal RNA", at positions 29 to 507 of the family's 1533-position model. The record is from RNAcentral.